AAAAUAUUCCAUUUUCUUAUAAAAUAAUUUUUAUAGAGUUAUCUGUAAGAAAUUUUUGUAGCAUAAAAGUGAAAUAAAUUCAUACAUACUGUAAUACAGAUGGUCAUGGUAUGAAAUUUAAUUUACAAUGACACAUGGGCCCCCAAAUGACAAAAGUGAACGAAGGCUGUGAACCUACGAUUUUUGAGGAAGUAAAGCCAACUGUAGCUUUCGACGAUAUCAGCUAUCUAUAGCCUAUUCUGAGCCUGAAAUGGGUGGAAAGGAGGGUGGUGAGAUUAUAUAAUCUCAGUGAGUAAAGAAACAUCAUCCAAAAUAUCUAAAGUCGAGCAAAUGGAGACGAUUAAAAAUUCCAUCUCAAUAUGUAUUUUGUAACAUAAAUAUUCAUUUCAUUUAAAUAAUCAACAUGGCUUAUUAGUAUCUUAAAAGCUUGGCUCCUGCCAAAAUCAUUCUCGAGAAUACCUUGGUCGAGGCAUCUAACAGAGUCCACCAAGGCUGUUAAAAAUUUCGUAUACACGUAAACAUAUUUUUAGUUUGAAAAACACAACCGUUCCUUGGCAUUAGCGGAGUUCAUCAUCACAAGGUGGUUUAGCGUGACGUGAACUCUAACCAUACCUCAGAAGAUACCCUACGCACCUCUCUGAUCGAGGUACGUAUAUAAACGGAUUUCGUGCCCCUCUAAUAGGCUGGUCCACAGAACCCGCCCACUGCAGCAAGCUAAACCCACCAUACAAUAAAAAUUCAACAGCAUGACAUGGCAAUUUUAUCAUUAUCCAACCUAUCAAGGUAAACAAUAGUUUAUACAUUUUCAACACAAAUACCAAUUCAAUCAUUCAUGCCAAUAUUUCCAUAAGCCAAUCAAUUAGAACCAUAAAUUCACAAUACAUCAAAUGGUCUCCAAUUACUCUAUUUUCAAAGCCAUCAUUCAAUUUCAAGACAAUUUAUAAAAUCAUUUCAUUUAAACACAUUUUGUUUAUAAAACCUAAAAAUUUAACCAUUUAAACUCAUUUUCCAUAACAUUCACAAAAUCGAAUAAAAAGACCAUUUUAGAUAAUUAAAAUGAUGAUAAGGUUACUCACUAUUUCGGGAGUCAAAUUUUUAUUUGACUAUCGAUCCUCGGGUACAAUUUCUUUGCCCUUAUCGGAGGAUUCACCACCUAGACAAAAUGCACAAUCAAGCAAUUUACCACAUUGGUGCUAAAUCGUUAUAAAACUAUAUGGAUGCAUGAAAUGGAAUGCAAAUUGUUCGGAUUAUCGUCUAAACAUGGUGUUCUACACAAAUUCAAUUGUGUACCUAAAUAAAACGAUAUUGGCCUAAUUCGAUCUAUCACUCGAUUAAUUGGCCAAUAUGUCCUAUUCAACUCUAAUUAACUCCAUUUUUCUUCCAAUAAUCCAAACCAUCAAACACAAGUCAAAUAGCAUAAAAUUUAGCAAAAUUAUCUUCACAUUUUCUCUUGGGAAUUUUGGCCAUGGUGGGUGCAUCAGCACUAUGAUUUUUCCUACUUGAUUUUCUCACCGUAAUUCAUCAUUUCCUAACCAAUUCACUUAAAAUAAAAUCAAAUCCACCAUCCACACUCUACAUGGAAAAUUCAGCUAAUGAUGGGUAAUAGGAGGAAGUGAAUUUUUCUUGUUGGCUUUUCAUGCUACACAUCACUAACUAUCUAAAAGUACUAAAAUACAUUGAAAUCUAACCAAAUCAAGCAUCAAAACGUCCCUCUAAGUGUUCGGCCAGCAAGGGAUUCAUCAUGAAAUCAUGUGAUUCAACCAUGGAAAAUGCAAAAGAAUGUAUGGGAAUGGUAGAUCACAAGUCAAAAUCAUGAAAUUUUACCUUUGAUUGCUUGAUUACUUGAAAUCUACUAAUUUUUCUCUUGAAUUUUCACUCUAGGGUUUUUGUUCUUUCUUGUCUUCCUUUGUUCUUGCUUUGGCCGGC
This 1926-nucleotide long non-coding RNA is filed under the name Theobroma cacao (cacao). Its description in RNAcentral is "long non-coding RNA (TCAC_LNC001269)". The record is from RNAcentral. Lineage: Eukaryota; Viridiplantae; Streptophyta; Magnoliopsida; Malvales; Malvaceae.